CUUCGAAUCCAUCCAGUUAUUAAUUUCCCUUAACAGAAAUUGACAUGGGAAAUAAACACGAAGUGUAAGUCGUCUGAAUACUUAGAGUUUUGUGGCUUGCAUCCCGAUCGUUGGCGAACAUCGUAAAAUCCGUUUUGGUACAUAACCUCCACGAUCCAAAGUCACCUUGCAGAUGACAGGCCCGGAUCCAACGCAAGCCACGCCGAAUUUAUGCUCGACUUCACAGCGGAAUGCUUGCUGAUCGAAAACAUUAUUGUUCUAAAGAUUAGAAACAGAAAAGCAGAAACAAAUCGUGCGUAAGCGAUAGGUGCAUGCCAUGCGAGAUCUAAAUGAAAACAGAAUAACAUAACCUCCACAUAACCACCACGUGCACAUAACCACAAUGUUGUGCUAACGAGUGUUAACACAAAUGUUAAGAUCAAUUGGAUUCAUCACAAUGAAUACUUGUUGGUUUUUAUGUGUGAGACCAUUGGGUUCCCGAAGGGCUGUUUUGCAGUAAUACUGGACCCAACCGUGUUUUCCCAGGAAAGUUGAUGGUAAUCCAAGUGGUAAACCCAGUUUAAAUGGAAAACUGUGGAUACCCGGUGAGAGUACUGAUGGGCCUUGACCUGGAAAUUAAAUCAGUUGCGCAUGCGCAUUUUAAAAAUAAUUUUUUGUUCGUUUUUUGUUUAUGUAUGUUUACGUAAUAGCAGGAGGGUCGAAAAUAAAUGGAUUAUCAUAAA
Molecule: long non-coding RNA, 722 nt
Organism: Dalotia coriaria
Lineage: Eukaryota; Metazoa; Arthropoda; Insecta; Coleoptera; Staphylinidae
Exons: 3
Source: RefSeq, a predicted model, not a curated record